RNAcentral lists this ribosomal RNA (253 nucleotides) under uncultured bacterium. RNAcentral's name for it is "partial 16S ribosomal RNA". It matches the Rfam family "Bacterial small subunit ribosomal RNA", at positions 524 to 776 of the family's 1533-position model. The record is from RNAcentral.
UACAGAGGGUGCUAGCGUUGUUCGGAAUCAUUGGGCGUAAAGGGCGCGCAGGCGGCUCAUUUUGUCAGGCGUGAAAGCCCCGGGCUUAACCUGGGAACUGCGUUUGAUACGGAUGGGCUAGAGUUCGGGAGAGGAGAGUGGAAUUCCCAGUGUAGAGGUGAAAUUCGUAGAUAUUGGGAAGAACACCGGUGGCGAAGGCGGCUCUCUGGACCGAGACUGACGCUGAGGCGCGAAAGCGUGGGGAGCAAACAGG